Molecule: ribosomal RNA, 584 nt
Filed under: uncultured bacterium
Lineage: Bacteria
Description: bacterial SSU rRNA
Rfam family: Bacterial small subunit ribosomal RNA
Source: RNAcentral
CAAAGGAAUUGACGGGGACCCGCACAAGCGGUGGAGCAUGUGGUUUAAUUCGAUGCAACGCGAAAAACCUUACCACUCCUUGACAUGGAAAUUAUACCUAUUCGAAGGGAUAGGGUCGGUUCGGCCGGGUUUCACACAGGUGUUGCAUGGCUGUCGUCAGCUCGUGUCGUGAGAUGUUGGGUUAAGUCCCGCAACGAGCGCAACCCUCAUCCUUAGUUACCAUCAGGUAAUGCUGGGGACUUUAAGGAGACUGCCAGUGAUAAACUGGAGGAAGGUGGGGAUGAUGUCAAGUCAUCAUGGCCCUUAUGGAGUGGGCUACACACGUGCUACAAUGGUGGCUACAAUGGGCUGCAAAGUCGCGAGGCUAAGCCAAUCCCUUAAAAGCCAUCUCAGUUCGGAUUGUACUCUGCAGCUCGAGUGCAUGAAGUUGGAAUCGCUAGUAAUCGUGGAUCAGCACGCCACGGUGAAUACGUUCUCGGGUCUUGUACACACUGCCCGUCACGCCAUGGGAAUUGGUUUCACUCGAAGCUAACGACCUAACCGCAAGGAGGGAGUUAUUUAAAGUGGGAUCGGUGACUGGGGUG